Molecule: ribosomal RNA, 740 nt
Filed under: uncultured Planctomycetia bacterium
Lineage: Bacteria; Pseudomonadati; Planctomycetota; Planctomycetia
Description: bacterial SSU rRNA
Rfam family: Bacterial small subunit ribosomal RNA
Source: RNAcentral
CAAGUCGUACGCUCCGCAAGGGGCGUGGCGCAAGGGUGAGUAAGGCGACGGUAACCAACCCCAGGGCUGGCCAUAGCCGCGGGAAACUGCGGGUAAUAGCCAGCGACGCAACGGCAGGGCAUCUUGCUGUUGCCAAAGGUGUGAUUCCGCCCUGGGACGGGCCGUCGUGGUAUUAGGUUGUUGGCGGGGUGAUGGCCCACCAAGCCUGUGAUGCCUACCGGGCGUGCGAGCGUGGCCCGGCACACUGGGACUGAGACACUGCCCAGACUCCUACGGGAGGCUGCAGUCGAGAAUCUUCGGCAAUGGGCGCAAGCCUGACCGAGCGACGCCGCGUGGAGGACGAAGGCCUUCGGGUUGUAAACUCCUGUCGAGGGGGAACAAGGGCCGGUGCAGAGCCGGUCUUGAGUGAACCCUGGAGGAAGCACGGGCUAAGUUCGUGCCAGCAGCCGCGGUAAGACGAACCGUGCGAACGUUAUUCGGAAUCACUGGGCUUAAAGCGCGUGUAGGCGGGCCGCCACGUCGGAUGCUGAAAUCCCCCGGCUCAACCGGGGAACGGGCACCGAUACGAGCGGCCUGGAGGGGAGUAGGGGGACCUGGAACUUCCGGUGGAGCGGUGAAAUGCGUUGAGAUCGGAAGGAACGCCCGUGGCGAAAGCGAGGUCCUGGGCUCUUACUGACGCUGAGACGCGAAAGCCAGGGGAGCAAACGGGAUUAGAUACCCCGGUAGUCCUGGCCGUAAAC